This 3610-nucleotide long non-coding RNA is filed under the name Homo sapiens (human). RNAcentral describes it as "non-protein coding lnc-FOXQ1-19:1". The record is from RNAcentral. Lineage: Eukaryota; Metazoa; Chordata; Mammalia; Primates; Hominidae.
CUGCACCCAACACCUUCAACAUCUAUCCCCAAAUCUCACUGUGUUCCUUCCUGCUUUGGGGUGUGAUUUUGUGAUUUUGAUAGACCAUCAGCUCCCCGAGGACAGGAAUCAUGUCACCUAGAGAUUUGUGACCUUCAUCACACUCAGCUCAGCAUAGAGCCUUGGGAGGUGCUCUGGGAAAGCAUUUGCUGGUGGGCUGGCCAUCCUCACCAGCCUGGUGGGGACCCGAAGGCCACACCUGACCUGACACCCACUGCUCUAUGCUUCUGUGACACAUGCCAAUUUGUGCAAUCUCAUCUCGUGACCAAGCGCAGCUCAAAUACAUGCACCAAAGCAGGGACUUGCACACUUGUUUUACUAUGAUCCACGGUGAGAAAUACGUUGACAUGACCUCCCAUCACUCACAUAUGUAACGGAAACAAGGGCAUCGUAGAUGAACCUUAUGCUAUGGGAUGUGCAUUUUCUGUUUUUUUGUUUUGUGUUCUAGUCUACUCUGAUCUUUCUGUUCUAAUCUGUCUAGUCCGUCUUUCCUAUUUUAUUUCUUAAAUGCCAGCAGUGUAUUCGCUAAAUUGAUGCCACAACCCACCAAUGAUUGCAAAACUUUGUUCUGCAAAGUUUCCUGACAUCUUGGAGCUCUGUGGGGGAAAUCCUGGGUUGCAAAAACAAAUAAGGGUGCAGUCCUAGCCCCCAGGAAGCUCACUUGGGAGUCAGGUGGGGGUGGGGAAGCAAUCACAUUAAAAAUCAUAACAUAUUUUCUCAUUAGCAUUUUCAAAAUUAAUACGCAUUAUGCAAGCAAUGUGUCUUUUAUUCCUAGAAAAGCUGUUACUAAAUCAAUGGUGUGUGUUACCAUGAACAGUAUCUCAGAAAUGAGGACACGCAGUGUGGUGCCGUGCUCUAAGGAUGGCAGUCUUCAUCUAACUAGCUUGCCUAGGGCUCCCACUCUGAAUGCCCCAGGUGGGCCACUCAGCUCAUCUCAGGACAAGUCACCUGUGCCUCCCAGAUGGCUAGAGGGUGACUCCCUCUACCAAUCACCAUUUACAGGAAUCUUCAAGGAGAACUUCAAUUUGGACUCCUGCCAAGUGAGCACUACCAAAGACCUUGAUGCCAAUAUUACUCCACCAGGCCAAGGUGAACAAACUUUUACUGGAAAGGUCCAGACAACAAAUACUUAGACUCUGCAGGUCAUAUGGUCUGAAUCACAAAUGCUGAAUUCUGUUCUUGGGGCACGAAUACACAAAGAACGAGUGUGGCUGUGUUCCCAUAAAACUUCAUCUGUGGACAUUGAAACUGGAAUUUCAUAUCAUUUUCACAUGUCAUAAAAUAUUUAUUCUUCUUUUGAUUUUCUUUUCAAUAUUUAAGAAUGUAAAAACCAUGCUUAGCUCACAGGCCAUACAAAAACAGGCUGGAGCUGGAUUUGGCUUCAGGAACCGUAGCCUACUUAGCUCUGUUCCAAGCCAAUCAGACCUUCCAGGAUGGAAAAUAUUUCAUAUCCACCAGGAGCUGAGAUGUGCCACCUUCAGCCGCAUUAGACUCUGGAACACAGACAAACAGAAGAAGCCAUCCGGUAGUUUUCUCUUGAUGUAUAUACCACAGAAAAGUCAUGUGGUGAAUACAGUGUUGAUGAAGAGGUUUUCGCCUGGGGCAAAACCAUCUUAAAACUACUAUAGUUUUCUAAAAGAGAAGGAGAAGUUACAGAUGGAAGGGCUGGCACUAGUGCUUGUGGGCACAACUCCUUUCGGGAUAAAAGAAAUAAAUCCACCUUUUAAAGCAAUCAGGCAGGCUCAGCCCAUCAUGUGGAUUUUUAAUAUUGCGUGUCUUUCCAGGAUAAACUGUCACCUUGUUUCACAUUGUAUUAAUCCAGUCUUAGCUAUGAUGGAAAAUGUUCAUAAGCCAGGGGGCAGCAAGUGCAAUGAAGUGUUUCAUUAGCCAGAUGGGUCCUGAUUAACCUCCAAUGUCCAAUGAGCAGCUGCACAGACCAGGCUCAUUACUGUGUGGCUGGUGUACCAGAGUGUGGCGCUGGCCAGGCACGGUGGCUAACAACUAAAAUCCCAGCACUUUAGGAGGCCAAGGUGGGAGGAUCACUUGAGGCCAGGAGUUCAAGACCAGCCUGGGCAACAUAGUGAGAUCUUGUCACUACAAAAAAAUUUUUUUUAAAUUUAAACUUGGCCAGGCAUGGUGGUGCAUGCCUGUAGUUCCAGCUACUUGGGAGGCUGAAGUGGGAGGGUCGUUUGAGCCCAGGAGUUUCAGGUUGUAGUGAGCCAUGAUCAUGCCACUGCACUCCAGCCUGGCUGACAAAGUGUCUAAAAAAAAUGUGGUGCUAAGUACUUGGGCAGACCUAGGUGAUGUUCUCCACCCUCGUACUGGGACCUACAUCUGUACCAUUUCUUAAGGCGUUAAAGAGUGCAGGACGCAACCAGACAACUUGGUCAGCCCUCCAUCACACCUGCUCUCUGUUCUUUUAUUUACCACAUUCAUACAUGCUCAUUUUUAAAAGUCAAUCCAGAAAUGUCCAUGCUAAAUAAACAAAAGACGCUGCCCUGCCCCUUCCUCAACCAAUUUCAUUCCCCUCCCUCACAAAAAAUUACUGCGGGCAGCUUGGCAUGCCCUGUGUAAACACACACCCACACGCACAGACACCAUGUAUGUGUCUGUGCCAUUGUCAUGUGUUUUGAGCUGUUUCCCAGCACUCUGUGUGGUGACCUAAUGAGGCUCUCCAUCCUCGUCGGCGCACAUGGAACCCCCUCGUUCUCACUGAACAGCCUCAGGCUCCUUCACACGCUGCGUCUUCUUUACAGCCUGCCAGUUAAACCCAAUGUUUUUACCUUGGAAAAUGUCACGGGCUGUUCUCCAGAAGCAGCAGUGAGCUGGUUCAUUGACGUUUGGUGACUUGUUCAGUUGUGCUCCUCACAUUCCAUUACUGCCACACCUACAGACACGUUGGUGUUUCACAAAAAGGCAAAUUCCAAAAGGCGACUGGGAGGAGCUUGCUAGCCGAGGCUCUUCUGCAGAGUGUUUUUUGGUCUUAAUGCUUCUGAAAUGCAUUUUAAAAUAAGCCAAACUGGUCAUGUGGCACCUGUGAUAUUAUCUAGAAAAGUGUGACUUGAGGGAAUUUCUCCAGAAUCAAAGAUGUCUGAACGUGUCUGCAUGAACAGAACCCAGGACGCUCCUUACUAAGCAGGCUCUGCAGAACAAACGCAAGCCAGGAGGAAAAGAGGAAAACGUAGGUUGGUGACAUGGUUUGGAAUGGGGAAGUUCGUGUGUGUGUGUGUGUGUGUGUGUGUGUGUGUAUAAUUUCGUUGAGGUAUAAUUCAUAUACCACAGAAUUUCCUUUUAAAUAUACAACUGGCUCAUUUGCAGUAAGUUUUUAGAGUUGUGCACCAGCAUCACAAGCUCAUUUCACAACAUUUCCAUCACCCCAAAAGAAGCCUCCUGCCAUGAGCAGACACUGCCCACUCCCACUCCGAGCACAACCACCACCACCCAUCUACUUUCUUCUGUACAUAUUUGCCUUUUCUGGAAAUUACAUAACGUGGAAUCGUGCAAUAUGUGGUAUUUUGAAGCUGGUUUCUUUCACUUAGCAUCAUAUAUGUUAACUAUUUUUUUUUUUUUU